This 253-nucleotide ribosomal RNA is filed under the name uncultured bacterium. Its description in RNAcentral is "partial 16S ribosomal RNA". It matches the Rfam family "Bacterial small subunit ribosomal RNA", at positions 524 to 776 of the family's 1533-position model. The record is from RNAcentral.
GACAGAGGGUGCAAACGUUGUUCGGAAUUACUGGGCGUAAAGCGCACGUAGGCGGCUUUUUAAGUCAGGGGUGAAAUCCUGGAGCUCAACUCCAGAACUGCCUUUGAUACUGAGAAGCUUGAGUCCGGGAGAGGUGAGUGGAACUGCGAGUGUAGAGGUGAAAUUCGUAGAUAUUCGCAAGAACACCAGUGGCGAAGGCGGCUCACUGGCCCGGUACUGACGCUGAGGUGCGAAAGCGUGGGGAGCAAACAGG